RNAcentral lists this ribosomal RNA (243 nucleotides) under uncultured bacterium. Its description in RNAcentral is "partial 16S ribosomal RNA". It matches the Rfam family "Bacterial small subunit ribosomal RNA", at positions 534 to 776 of the family's 1533-position model. The record is from RNAcentral.
GCUAGCGUUGCUCGGAAUCACUGGGCGUAAAGCGCACGUAGGCGGAUCUUUAAGUCAGGGGUGAAAUCCUGGAGCUCAACUCCAGAACUGCCUUUGAUACUGGGGAUCUCGAGUCCGGAAGAGGUGAGUGGAACUCCGAGUGUAGAGGUGAAAUUCGUAGAUAUUCGGAAGAACACCAGUGGCGAAGGCGGCUCACUGGUCCGGUACUGACGCUGAGGUGCGAAAGCGUGGGGAGCAAACAGG